UCUGAGAACCUCUUAUUGGGGGCAGUGAGAAGGAAGAGAUGCAGACCCUCUCCAGAGAAAAGCCCUACGCAGAGAUGUUCCUUUCAACCAGGCCUAAAGACAAAGACAUCACCAGGAAGAGGUCUGGUAUAAGACAGGUUCUGAAGGUUGGGAUUGACACUGCGAAUUGCACGCAUGUAUGCCUUGAGCAGCUGAAUGUCUCGCUUCUGUUGAAAGGAAGAAGAACAAGGGAUAAUGGUUAAGACAGACAAUAGAUGAAAGACAAAAUGAAGGAAAUCGAGAGGUCUGAGGAACAACCAGACUGGAAGCUUCAUAAAGACAGGGAUACGAGGGUAUCAAUCCCAGCUGUACCCUCAGUUCUUAGCAAAGUGCCUUCAAGGGAAGGCAUUUGAUAAAUGGUAAAUAAAUGAAUGCCACUGAUGGGAUAAUGAGGAA
Long non-coding RNA from Bubalus bubalis (water buffalo), 435 nucleotides. RefSeq lists it as uncharacterized. NCBI's taxonomy places the organism in Eukaryota, Metazoa, Chordata, Mammalia, Artiodactyla, Bovidae. The record is from RefSeq and is a predicted model, not a curated record. The transcript is spliced from 2 exons.